This 3381-nucleotide long non-coding RNA is filed under the name Homo sapiens (human). RNAcentral's name for it is "HSALNT0336985". The record is from RNAcentral. Lineage: Eukaryota; Metazoa; Chordata; Mammalia; Primates; Hominidae.
GUUCAAGAGUACACCACAAUACGAAUGGUUUUGACUUGUAACACGACUUGAAAAUGUCAAUCAUCACACUGAGACUGAGAGCUAAGCUUUUAGAUGUGCCAUCUAAGGCCCAUGCCUACCCCUUGCGCUCUUCCCAUCAGUACUUUGCUGGUAAAUGUUAAAAAGUGGGAGUAAUAAAAGUCCUGGUUUGUAGCAUUUGCUGAUUACUCUGGUGUACAUACUCCUCUGGUAUAAAUCCUUACUGAUUUCAAGCUACCAGCGUGAUGUCACUGACCAUGCUAUUGAAAAGAGAUGUUUGUAAUCAGCUCUUAGAGGCAAUAUGAACAGGCCACAGCACAUCACUGGGACCCAGCACACUGGGUCUUUUUGUUCCCACUGCACACUCUUCUGCUUUAGAGCCUUUGCAUCUCUUCCACCAGGACCACACGUGGCUGGUUACAUAUUGUUAUUCGAUUAUCAGCUGAAAUAUCACCUGUGGUAAUUAAUUUGAUGAGUCAACUUGGGUAGGCUACAGUGCUCACUUGCCUGGUCAAAUAAGAGCAAAACCAACUUGCUUGGUCUUCAUUGCCGUGAAGAUAAAUUAGGUGGGAUUAGCAUUUAAGUCAGUAGACUUUGAGUAAAACAUCUCAUCCUCCAUAAUAUGAGCGAGGCUCAUCCAACAGUUGAAGACCUUAAGAGAAAAGACUGAGGUCCCCGAAGAAGAAGAAAUUCUGCCUGCAGACUGAUUUCAGAUGCAGUAGUACAACAUCAAUCCUUCCUUGGGUUUCCAGCCUGCUGGUCUGCCCUGCAGAUUUCAGACUUGCCUGCUCCCACAGUCAUGUUUUGGACCUUUACCUAGCUUCCAACUGCCUUCUUCCACCAACAUUACUGUGGUACUCUCAUGUAUGACUUUCCCAUUUUACCAGCUUAAUAAAUGGUUCUCAGCCUGAGCAAACUGAAGCAAACUAUUGGGCAUUCCCAUUUUCAUUUCUGAAGUGACUGCUCAAAUCUUUAUUUCAUUUUAUGCCGAUGCCUCGGGAGCUGACCUAGGAUAAAUGGAAGCUACCAACUGCCAACUGUGCUGUCAGCUGUGUGGCCGGGUCAAAGGUGCUGGCUGAGCUUGCAAAUUCUGAAGGUUUGCCAGCAGUGAAGGUAUUUGCCUUAGAGGGAAAUGAUGCCUUGUACAUAUCUCAUCCCACAGUGCUGCUGAAUGCGUCCAUUUCAGGCAAUGCCCAAUUUGGAGAAAAGAAGAAGUGCAAAAAAAGAUGUUUCUUUGACCUCACCGCAAAUACGUAAAACCACCUGCAGAUCCACAGCCACUCUAAUCUUUGCCUUGGGCACACCCUUUUGCUUUAACAGUAGAGAAGAAACAAGUUUCUGUUCCCUCCGAGUGCUGGGAAGUGGCAUGACAGCUGGUUUCCAUGAGCAGAGCACAUACUCCAACCCUGCAAAGAAAAAACUCCCCACAAUGCUCUUUUAUCUAUUAAACUAAAGGGGGUUUUAUUACACUUUUGUACAUUCAAUACAUUUAUCUAAAUUUUUCUCGCAUUGAAUUAUUGUCAAGAAAAGGCUGUUCUUGCAUAUAUAUAUGUGUGUGUAUAUAUAUAUGUACUUGUGAUCAUGCAUAACUUAAAUGCUAAAUUUCUGAUUUUUUUGGAGAGGAUAACAUUUAGAAAAAAAUCUAUUGACUAAACAAAAAUCAUUUGACACAUGAGGUCAAACCUUAAUUUAGCUGUAGGAAUCAUUGUCGUAUCAAUGUGGAAGUAGAAAUAGCACUAAAAGAAUGUUCUUUUUCUCCUGAAAGAUGCACCCUCUGACCCACUUUGUGACACAUAGUGAGGAGUUCAGUAACUAUAAAUGUUACCGAUGACUCUUAUCCUUGGUUUAACUCUGGGUUCUUCUAAAUGCUUAUGUAGAGUACAAAUUAUCUGCUGAAGAGUAGCCAAGGUUGCCAAGUGAACAGCACUGAAGACGUCAGAAGGGAGUGAAGUUUGGAAGUGAAACAGCAGCCUUUAAAUAGCCCGACAACACACAUCAUGAGAUGACUUCAGUGGAUCUCCCAUCACUACGGAUUGGCUGUAAAGGAAAAAUCCUCUUAAGUGUUUAAUCCAGAAGAUAACUUUUUAUUCAAUUACUACCAGUAUAAUUACUAUACUAUUGUUCAAGAUUUUAUUCGUUCUUCCUUUUUUUGUCCACUUUGUCUUUUCUUCCUCUAGAAAUUCAGAACCUGAAUGAUUUCUCAUUUGAGUCAAUUUUGAUCACUGCAAUCAUUAAAUUAGACAUAAUUUAGAAACUUCUAAUGAAAAAAGAACAUAAUUAAGCCAAAUUAUCAGAAGUUUUAAGGAUUGAAAAUAUUAUCAAACAAUUUUUAAUAGUAUUUUUUCUAAUAAAAAUUCUGAGACAUUGGAUGAAUUAAGAUCUAUUGAUAUGAAAGAAUGCUCAUGUAACUAUGGAAAAGAAAUUAACAUUUAGUUAGUGUUCUAAUAUGCCAAGCAUUAUGCAUAUUAAACUAAGCAUUUUCCAUAUUUUUUCUCAUUUACUCUUUUUUACUGCCUUACAAAAUAUGUGUUAUUGUCCCCAGUCUACAGGGCAGAAAACUGGAAAUUCACAAAGAUUAAAGUAUUCAAGUUUAGAAAGAAACUGUUUUUAAGUGACAGAAUCCGGAUUAAAAUCCAGGUCUGCUGACCCCGAGGCUCUUUCUCUUUCCAUUUUAUCCCAUAGGAUUUUCCACUCAGCCAAAAAUUGAACUUUAAAUUUUUACAUAUUUUUAAAUUUAAAUAUAUUUUUCCUCAUUAACAACAAAAAAAUGGAAAAGAAGAAUUAUAAUUGGUAACAUUGACAUCAAUUUUUAAAAAUAUUUGUUUCAUGCAAUAAUAAAAAUUGUUUUUCUUUUAAUAGUAAAUGAUUUGAGUGAAAAAGUUAUCACCAUUGUAAAUAAAACAUAGCUUAAUUGACUUUAAUAUUGCUAGCAAAAUUAAAUUUGUACUAGGCUCAUAGAAUAAAUAAAAAGUGCAUGCAUAUUUGCCACAUUUAAUAUAGAAUGUUUUUUGUAAUUUUCAAUCUUUUUUGAGUAUACUUGCCAAAGCUGUAUUUAUUUAAGCUGUACAAUGUGGUGAUUUGACAUAGGUAUUCACUGUGAAAUGAUUGUCAAAGUCAAACUAAUGUACAUAUCCAAUCACCAAUCACCUCACAUAGUUAUGAUUUUUUGUGUGUGGUGAAAACACUUCAGAUCAACUCUCUUAGCAAAUUUUAAGUACAUGAUUCAGUGUUAUUAACUAUAGUCACCAUGCUGUACAUUAGAUUCCAGAACUUAUUCAUCCUGCAUAACUAAAACUUGUCCCUUUUUCUCCCUGUUUCCCCAUCCUCCAGCCCCUGACUACCACCAUUCUACUCUGCUUCUGC